UCCGUUGGUGAACCAGCGGAGGGAUCAUUACCGAGUUUACAACUCCCAAACCCCUGUGAACAUACCACUUGUUGCCUCGGCGGAUCAGCCCGCUCCCGGUAAAACGGGACGGCCCGCCAGAGGACCCCUAAACUCUGUUUCUAUAUGUAACUUCUGAGUAAAACCAUAAAUAAAUCAAAACUUUCAACAACGGAUCUCUUGGUUCUGGCAUCGAUGAAGAACGCAGCAAAAUGCGAUAAGUAAUGUGAAUUGCAGAAUUCAGUGAAUCAUCGAAUCUUUGAACGCACAUUGCGCCCGCCAGUAUUCUGGCGGGCAUGCCUGUUCGAGCGUCAUUUCAACCCUCAAGCACAGCUUGGUGUUGGGACUCGCGUUAAUUCGCGUUCCCCAAAUUGAUUGGCGGUCACGUCGAGCUUCCAUAGCGUAGUAGUAAAACCCUCGUUACUGGUAAUCGUCGCGGCCACGCCGUUAAACCCCAACUUCUGAAUGUUGACCUCGGAUCAGGUAGGAAUACCCGCUGAACUU
This 522-nucleotide ribosomal RNA is filed under the name Fusarium oxysporum. RNAcentral describes it as "eukaryotic LSU rRNA". The stretch from base 179 to 332 matches the Rfam family "5.8S ribosomal RNA". Lineage: Eukaryota; Fungi; Ascomycota; Sordariomycetes; Hypocreales; Nectriaceae. The record is from RNAcentral.